GACGAACGCUGGCGGCGUGCUUAACACAUGCAAGUCGAACGGAAAGGCCCUGCUUUUGUUGGGUGCUCGAGUGGCGAACGGGUGAGUAACACGUGAGUAACCUGCCCUUGACUUUGGGAUAACUUCAGGAAACUGGGGCUAAUACCGGAUAGGAGCUCCUGCUGCAUGGUGGGGGUUGGACAGUUUAGGCUGUUGGGGAUGGACUCGCGGCUUAUCAGCUUGUUGGUGGGGUAGUGGCUUACCAAGGCUUUGACGGGUAGUCGGCCUGAGAGGGUGACCGGCGACCAUGGGACUGAGAUACGGCGCAGACUCCUACGGGAGGCAGCAGUGGGGAAUAUUGCACAAUGGGCGGAAGCCUGAUGCAGCAACGCCGGGUGCGGGAUGACGGCCUUCGGGUGGUAAACCGCUUUCGGCUGUGACGAAGCGUGAGUGACGGUAAUGGGUAAAGAAGCACCGGCUAACUACGUG
RNAcentral lists this ribosomal RNA (468 nucleotides) under uncultured bacterium. Its description in RNAcentral is "partial 16S ribosomal RNA". It matches the Rfam family "Bacterial small subunit ribosomal RNA", at positions 28 to 507 of the family's 1533-position model. The record is from RNAcentral.